UCGUAAAGCUCUGUUNNUAAAGAAGAACGUGGGUAGAGNACUGUUUACCCAGUGACGGUAUUUAACCCAGAAANCNACGGCUACUACGUGCCAGCAGCCGCGGUAAUACGUAGGUGGCAAGCGUUAUCCGGGAUUUAUUGGGCGUAAAGCGAGCGCAGGCGGUCUUUUAAGUCUAAUGUGAAAGCNUUCGGCUCAACCGAAGAAGUGCAUUGGAAACUGGGAGACUUGAGUGCAGAAGAGGACAGUGGAACUCCAUGUGUAGCGGUGAAAUGCGUAGAUAUAUGGAAGAACACCAGUGGCGAAGGCGGCUGUCUGGUCUGCAACUGACGCUGAGGCUCGAAAGCAUGGGUAGCGAACAGGAUUAGAUACCCUGGUAGUCCAUGCCGUAAACGAUGAUUACUAAGUGUUGGAGGGUUUCCGCCCUUCAGUGCUGCAGCUAACGCAUUAAGUAAUCCGCCUGGGGAGUACGACCGCAAGGUUGAAACUCAAAAGAAUUGACGGGGGCCCGCACAAGCGGUGGAGCAUGUGGUUUAAUUCGAAGCUACGCGAAGAACCUUACCAGGUCUUGACAUCUUCUGACAGUCUAAGAGAUUAGAGGUUCCCUUCGGGGACAGAAUGACAG
This 622-nucleotide ribosomal RNA is filed under the name Pediococcus pentosaceus. RNAcentral describes it as "bacterial SSU rRNA". It matches the Rfam family "Bacterial small subunit ribosomal RNA", at positions 423 to 1037 of the family's 1533-position model. The record is from RNAcentral. Lineage: Bacteria; Bacillati; Bacillota; Bacilli; Lactobacillales; Lactobacillaceae.